GAGCAGUGGGGAAUCUUAGACAAUGGGCGCAAGCCUGAUCUAGCCAUGCCGCGUGAGUGACGAAGGCCUUAGGGUCGUAAAGCUCUUUCGCUGGGGAAGAUAAUGACUGUACCCAGUAAAGAAGUCCCGGCUAACUCCGUGCCAGCAGCCGCGGUAAUACGGAGGGGACUAGCGUUGUUCGGAAUUACUGGGCGUAAAGCGCGCGUAGGCGGAUUAGCCAGUCAGAGGUGAAAUCCCAGGGCUCAACCCUGGAACUGCCUUUGAUACUGCUAGUCUUGAGUUCGAGAGAGGUGAGUGGAAUUGCGAGUGUAGAGGUGAAAUUCGUAGAUAUUCGCAGGAACACCAGUGGCGAAGGCGGCUCACUGGCUCGAUACUGACGCUGAGGUGCGAAAGUGUGGGGAGCAAACAGGAUUAGAUACCCUGGUAGUCCACACCGUAAACGAUGAAUGCCAGACGUCGGCAAGCAUGCUUGUCGGUGUCACACCUAACGGAUUAAGCAUUCCGCCUGGGGAGUACGGUCGCAAGAUUAAAACUCAAAUG
RNAcentral lists this ribosomal RNA (540 nucleotides) under uncultured bacterium. RNAcentral's name for it is "bacterial SSU rRNA". It matches the Rfam family "Bacterial small subunit ribosomal RNA", at positions 349 to 907 of the family's 1533-position model. The record is from RNAcentral.